RNAcentral lists this long non-coding RNA (640 nucleotides) under Homo sapiens (human). RNAcentral's name for it is "HSALNT0363199". The record is from RNAcentral. Lineage: Eukaryota; Metazoa; Chordata; Mammalia; Primates; Hominidae.
CUCAGGCAAUCCACCCACCUCGGCCUCUGAAAGUGCUGGGAUUACAGGUGUGAGCCACCACGCCCGGCCUGUCAGUGACACUCCUAGAGCAGAGUGAAAACUCGGCUCCACUUCAUCUGCACAAUUGUAAAGCUGGCUUAAGAGCGCCUGGCUGUUUUAUGGAAUGUUUGGAGCAGUACUGCUCUCCGUAGAACUCUCAAGGACUCAGAGAAGGAGGUGGCAGGCAGACACAGACAUCACGACUCUCAGACCAAAAAUGAUUCAAACAAGUUGGACUCUAAAUGUGAAGGAGUUUUCUGAACAUGGCUGGACGAUGAAUGUGAUGGCUGGAACUCAAGCAGCCACAGUGGAUCAUAAGGGACGGUGUCUUGCUAUGUUGUCCAAGCUGGUCUCAAACUGGCCUGAAUCAAUGCUUCCACCUCAGCUGCCAGAGGAACCGGGAUUACAGGCCUGAGCCACUGCAGCCAGCCAGUUUGUUAUUUUAAUGUAAAUUCUUAGUAAACAACUCAGGAGCUCUCUUGUCCUUUUAAAAUCCAUUUCAACUUCUGCUAAUCGGAGUGUAUAUUCAGGGCAACUUGAAUCUGUGCUCCUGGGAUGCAAUCCUCAAGCUUGGCCCAAAUAAAGUCUCCGCUGAUAUUAA